AGUGAACGCUGGCGGUAGGCCUAACACAUGCAAGUCGAACGGCAGCACAGUAAGAGCUUGCUCUUACGGGUGGCGAGUGGCGGACGGGUGAGGAAUACAUCGGAAUCUACUUUUUCGUGGGGGAUAACGUAGGGAAACUUACGCUAAUACCGCAUACGACCUACGGGUGAAAGCAGGGGAUCUUCGGACCUUGCGCGAUUGAAUGAGCCGAUGUCGGAUUAGCUAGUUGGCGGGGUAAAGGCCCACCAAGGCGACGAUCCGUAGCUGGUCUGAGAGGAUGAUCAGCCACACUGGAACUGAGACACGGUCCAGACUCCUACGGGAGGCAGCAGUGGGGAAUAUUGGACAAUGGGGGCAAGCCUGAUCCGGCCAUACCGCGUGGGUGAAGAAGGCCUUCGGGUUGUAAAGCCCUUUUGUUGGGAAAGAAAAGCAGCAGGUUAAUACCCCGCUGUUCUGACGGUACCCAAAGAAUAAGCACCGGCUAACUUCGUG
Molecule: ribosomal RNA, 492 nt
Filed under: uncultured bacterium
Lineage: Bacteria
Description: partial 16S ribosomal RNA
Rfam family: Bacterial small subunit ribosomal RNA
Source: RNAcentral